RNAcentral lists this long non-coding RNA (1211 nucleotides) under Zea mays. RNAcentral describes it as "long non-coding RNA (ZMAY_LNC003369)". The record is from RNAcentral. Lineage: Eukaryota; Viridiplantae; Streptophyta; Magnoliopsida; Poales; Poaceae.
GACGAUCUAAACCUAUCGAGCCAAGCACGUCGGGAUAACAACGUCGGCUUGCAGCGUCCUUCGGCAAGGACCAUUCAUCCUUUCACCUCCCGGCAAAUGGUACAGAUCUUGCACUUCUCAAAAUCGAGCUGUCAAAUGCUUCUCUGAGAUCCAAUUAGUGUAUUUCUUAUUCACUGAAUAGAGCAAUAUGCAUAUCUGAAUUUGCAGUAGUGUAUCCCUUCUUGCCUGAUAGGUUCUAUCCAAUCAUGAAAAUUGAAUUUUCUAUGGUGUAGUCGUAACUGAAGUGUCUGUGCAAGCAUGAUGAAUUUUAUUUAGGUGUGUUUUGGUCGGUAACACUUUGAUGUGUCAAAAUCAUUGACUUGGUGCUGAUAGUGUAUGUUCUGCACCUACUAGAAUAUGAGAUGCAUCCUUUACAGUAGUGUUAGGUACAUGUGGGUUCUGGCGACUUUAGUAAGAGUAGGUCUUACUGGCAGCCUCACAUUACUUAGAUAAUAUUAUUGGUGGCAUUUUUAUAACUUACUGACUCACUCACAUUUCUUAGACAUUACUAAUGUCAAUACAAUGACAAAAAUAUUUUAUCUUAAGAGUUUACAAGUUGUGCAUUUUGGACAGUUAGACAGUUAUGCAUUUUAUUUUUCUUAAAAAUCUCAAUUAUUUUUCUUGGACAGAUAGGCAGUCAUGUUUCUUUUGUACCAGUCAAACAAGUGCUCUGUAUUUCAUUGUUUGACAUAUUAUUGAACUGCUUUUGAUAAGGCCAAAAAGCUUUAGAAAUGUUCCUGCUUGUCAUGGUAAAAUUGGGAUGGACUGCUUUCCUGCUUGUACCUAUUACUGAACUGCUUUCCUAAACUAUUACUGAACUGCUUUCCUGAACUAUUACUGAACUAUUUUCCUAGCAAGGGCAAAAACACUUAGAACUACUUUCCUGCUUUUAAUUUGCACCAACCAAAAGGAUAUGUAAUACAUUUACUCAGUUUUCUCAAUGCUAUGUCACUAUAUGUUUUGUUUUCACUUAAAGCUCUGUGCUUUGUUGCAGGUUAUGUUUUGUCACCGAAGGUUCAGUCUUUCCUAAGUUCCUGAUGCACCAAGGUCAGUUUUUAGAAAGGUGUCAAUGUAGUUUUAUACUCCUUAGUUUUCAGAAAUAUGUCAAUGCAGUUUUAUAUGUGUGAACGCAAUUUGACAAUGCAGUUUUAUACUCUUGUCUUAGUUUUUAG